Molecule: microRNA precursor, 80 nt
Filed under: Procavia capensis (Cape rock hyrax)
Lineage: Eukaryota; Metazoa; Chordata; Mammalia; Hyracoidea; Procaviidae
Description: miRNA (ENSPCAG00000020482.1)
Source: RNAcentral
UUGAGUGACCAGCUGUCCUGGUUUGCCUGGGGCUGAGGAUUUCCAGGACAAAGAACUUUCAGUGCCCAAGCUGCACAAUC